UAUAAAGACCUAGCAGAGCAUGUGAGCA
This 28-nucleotide non-coding RNA is filed under the name Mus musculus (house mouse). Lineage: Eukaryota; Metazoa; Chordata; Mammalia; Rodentia; Muridae. The record is from RNAcentral.